AUUGAACGCUGGCGACAGGCCUAACACAUGCAAGUCGAGCGAGCGGCGGACGGGGGAGUAAUGUCUGGGAGACUGCCUGAUGGAGGGGGAUAACUACUGGAAACGAUAGCUAAUUCCUCAUGUCAGCAGAUGUGCACAGGUGGGAUUAGCUAGUAGGUGGGGUAACGGAUAACCUAGGCGACGAUCCCUAGCUGGUCUGAGAGGAUGAACGGCCACACUGGAACUGAGACACGGUCCAGACUCCUACGGGAGGCAGCAGUGGGGAAUAUUGCACAAUGGGCGCAAGCCUGAUGCAGCCAUGCCGCGUGUGUGAAGAAGGCCUUCGGGUUGUAAAGCACUUUCAGCGGGGAGGCGUUACCCGCAGAAGAAGCACCGGCUAACUCCGUGCCAGCAGCCGCGGUAAUUC
This 406-nucleotide ribosomal RNA is filed under the name uncultured bacterium. RNAcentral describes it as "partial 16S ribosomal RNA". It matches the Rfam family "Bacterial small subunit ribosomal RNA", at positions 30 to 526 of the family's 1533-position model. The record is from RNAcentral.